UACCCUUCCCCAUUUAAUUUACAAACACAAUGAUACUGAAAUUUUGGUUUUAUUAGAUUAUUUCAGAUGACCAAAGCCAGUUUUGGUUCUAAAGUCAUCUGAUGAUGGUGCUUGAAAGUGAUCUUAGAGUAAGAGUCUGCAGGGAAGACUAUCAAGAAAAUGACCAAAGCCAUCUGAUGAUGGUGCUUGGAAGCGUACCUCAUCUUAAAGUAAGAGACUGUGAAGACUAUUAAGAAAAAAUUGUUGGUCUCUUACAAAAAGGGAUAUGAAAUCUAUGGAAUCUUUUCUACUUGCUUCAACUGCGAGUUUGUGGAGAUCAAAAGUUUCCAGACUUGCUCCUGAAUGUUGAUAAAAGAUGGAGGGUUCUUAAACAUACGCAUAUUCUCACAUAGUAGCAAGAGAUACGAAUUGUCGUGGACAGGAUUCCUUUCAAUCCUUGUUGACUUGCAUUGAGAAUCAUGUGCUUCCAGCGACUGAUGAAGCUGAGCCACUAUGGACAAAAUUUAGUUUUAUUGGACCAAGAUGAGUUACACGUUCUUUCCACAUUCUGUUUUCAGCUUAAUAAGUACAAGAAACAUUACCAUAUGGUGAUCUUCCGAGGAGUAACAGUGUGGAAGUCAAUACCUGAAUGUUGAAUUAUUGGUGCUCAGUGGCCGGGAGUAUCACGAAAAUUUUGUGAAAAUGGAAAAGUGAUGCAGCCCAACUUAGAAAUGCCCUCAUGGAGGAUCUUGAGUGAAGGAGGAAAGGAUUCAAGAAUGGAAAUUUUCGAUUCUAUAGGAGAUAAAUCAUGCGUAACCUCUGCUCAAGCAAGAAUGUGACUAAUCAUAGGACAGAAACCCCGUGCAACCCUCGUGCGACAUUGGCUGGAGUGAAGUUACGACAAUUUUUAAUAAAGACUAAUUUUGUAAUUUUACUUUCAGCGUUGAACCCAGGGUUCUAUUUAAGCACAAUAAGAUCGGCUUGACCGUCUAGUUGUUAUUGUUGUUGAGUUUUAUGAAUAAGAAUGUUGAAGAGAGAGUUUUUCUUUUGUUUCCUAUAUUCCUAUUCUAGGCUUU
Molecule: long non-coding RNA, 1055 nt
Organism: Alnus glutinosa
Lineage: Eukaryota; Viridiplantae; Streptophyta; Magnoliopsida; Fagales; Betulaceae
Exons: 5
Source: RefSeq, a predicted model, not a curated record